AUGCUCCCGCUCGCCGCCGCAAGGGCCUGCCUUUCCUCCCCGACGCCGCCAUCGAGACCCCAAAUCCUAGCAGCGCCUCCCUCCCCCCUUCCCCGUCACCGCUCCACCGCCACGCUGCCCAGGCCCGCCAGGAUCCCCCUCAUCCACCCGCUCGGGGCUGGUGCGCCGGGUGCGUCCUCGCAGCCCGCGAGGGACCAGGUGAUCGACUUCGGCAAGCACAAGGGCCAGAUGUUGGGCACGCUGUCGCCGUCCUACCUGCGCUGGGUGGUCGCGGAGCUCGACUACGGGGACAUCCUGGUCUGGGUGCGCCUGGCGCGCGAGGUGCUCGAUGACCCCGUCUACGUCGACCACGUCGAGUGGGAGCACGCGCACCGCUUCCUUCGCGGCGACUCCAAGUUCGACUAAGUCUACGACGACGUCGACGGCGACGGGCCCCUCCAGGAGAUGGCCGAGCGCUUCGGCUGGGAUGUCUCCGACGAGGACGGCUAGGGCCGCCUCGACUUCGGCCUCUCGACCUCCUAUGGCGGCCGCAUCCUGAGGGAGGCCGACCGGCGCCAGAGCACCGGCAGCGGCAGCAAGAGAUCCCCCCGCAGCGGCGGCGCCCUGUUCGACACCGGGGCGGCCGACCCGGACGGGCCGAGGGGGAAGAGGGACGAGAGGAGGGUGCUGAUGCGGACGAGGAGGCAGGAGCAGGUGAGGACGGCGAAACUGGAUGUGCUCGGCGUGAACUCCAGCGCGAAAUGA
This 744-nucleotide ribosomal RNA is filed under the name Triticum aestivum (bread wheat). RNAcentral describes it as "partial small subunit ribosomal RNA". Lineage: Eukaryota; Viridiplantae; Streptophyta; Magnoliopsida; Poales; Poaceae. The record is from RNAcentral.